GCAAUGGGGCAACCCCGACCGAGCAACGCCGGUGAAUGAAGAAGUUUUCGGAUCGUAAAGUUCUGUUGUAAUCAAGAACGGGUUUGAGAGUGGAAGUUCACACUGUGACGGUAGCUUACCAGAAAGGGACGGCUAACUACGUGCCAGCAGCCGCGGUAAUACGUAGGUCCCGAGCGUUGUCCGGAUUUAUUGGGCGUAAGGCGAGCGCAGGCGGUUUGAUAAGUCUGAAGUUAAAGGCUGUGGCUCAACCAUAGUUCGCUUUGGAAACUGUCAAACUUGAGUGCAGAAGGGGAGAGUGGAAUUCCAUGUGUAGCGGUGAAAUGCGUAGAUAUAUGGAGGAACACCGGUGGCGAAAGCGGCUCUCUGGUCUGUAACUGACGCUGAGGCUCGAAAGCGUGGGGAGCGAACAGGAUUAGAUACCCUGGUAGUCCACGCCGUAAACGAUGAGUGCUAGGUGUUGGAUCCUUUCCGGGAUUCAGUGCCGCAGCUAACGCAUUAAGCACUCCGCCUGGGGAGUACGACCGCAAGGUUGAAACUCAAAGGAAUUGACGGGGGCCCGCACAAGCGGUGGAGCAUGUGGUUUAAUUCGAAGCAACGCGAAGAACCUUACCAGGUCUUGACAUCCCGAUGCUAUUUCUAGAGAUAGAAAGUUACUUCGGUACAUCGGUGACAGGUGGUGCAUGGUUGUCGUCAGCUCGUGUCGUGAGAUGUUGGGUUAAGUCCCGCAACGAGCGCAACCCCUAUUGUUAGUUGCCAUCAUUCAGUUGGGCACUCUAGCGAGACUGCCGGUAAUAAACCGGAGGAAGGUGGGGAUGACGUCAAAUCAUCAUGCCCCUUAUGACCUGGGCUACACACGUGCUACAAUGGUUGGUACAACGAGUUGCGAGUCGGUGACGGCGAGCUAAUCUCUUAAAGCCAAUCUCAGUUCGGAUUGUAGGCUGCAACUCGCCUACAUGAAGUCGGAAUCGCUAGUAAUCGCGGAUCAGCACGCCGCGGUGAAUACGUUUCCGGGCCUUGUACACACCGCCCGUCACACCACGAGAGUUUGUAACACCCGAAGUCGGUGAGGUAACCUUUUGGAGCCAGCCGCCUAAGGUGGGACAGAUGAUUGGGGUGAAGUCGUAACAAGGUAGCCGUAUCGGAAGGUGCGGCUGGAUCACCUCCUUUCUAA
This 1171-nucleotide ribosomal RNA is filed under the name uncultured bacterium. Its description in RNAcentral is "bacterial SSU rRNA". It matches the Rfam family "Bacterial small subunit ribosomal RNA", at positions 368 to 1533 of the family's 1533-position model. The record is from RNAcentral.